Molecule: ribosomal RNA, 496 nt
Filed under: uncultured bacterium
Lineage: Bacteria
Description: partial 16S ribosomal RNA
Rfam family: Bacterial small subunit ribosomal RNA
Source: RNAcentral
AUGAACGCUGGCGGCGUGCCUAAUACAUGCAAGUCGAGCGAACAGACGAGGAGCUUGCUCCUCUGACGUUAGCGGCGGACGGGUGAGUAACACGUGGAUAACCUACCUAUAAGACUGGGAUAACUUCGGGAAACCGGAGCUAAUACCGGAUAAUAUAUUGAACCGCAUGGUUCAAUAGUGAAAGACGGUUUUGCUGUCACUUAUAGAUGGAUCCGCGCCGCAUUAGCUAGUUGGUAAGGUAACGGCUUACCAAGGCAACGAUGCGUAUCCGACCUGAGAGGGUGAUCGGCCACACUGGAACUGAGACACGGUCCAGACUCCUACGGGAGGCAGCAGUAGGGAAUCUUCCGCAAUGGGCGAAAGCCUGACGGAGCAACGCCGCGUGAGUGAUGAAGGUCUUCGGAUCGUAAAACUCUGUUAUUAGGGAAGAACAAAUGUGUAAGUAACUAUGCACGUCUUGACGGUACCUAAUCAGAAAGCCACGGCUAACUACGUG